RNAcentral lists this small RNA (49 nucleotides) under Arabidopsis thaliana (thale cress). RNAcentral's name for it is "ATSL229480". The record is from RNAcentral. Lineage: Eukaryota; Viridiplantae; Streptophyta; Magnoliopsida; Brassicales; Brassicaceae.
UUAACAGAGGAUGCUUCUUCUUCUUCUUCUUCUUCUUCUUCUUCUUCAA